GGAAGCCGGGGAGUAGGGCUGGACUGUGACCACUGCCCUGGAGAGAAGACAGAAACAGGACAGAGGAUCCCGGCUGCAGCCAGCGUGAGGAAAGCUCCUCUGCUCCCUGCCAGACCGGCCAGCUGUGGAAACCCAGCAGGGCUUGCAGCAGAGCGGAGGGGCCCACCCCGUUCUUCCUCAUUUCCCACCCCUGGUGUGGGAUUUGGGGGGCUCCUGGGCAGAGUGCGAAGCUCCGGAGCCGAGGCCACUGGAUCCCCAGUGACUGCUCGGGGGGUUCCCGCUGCGUGGAGAUGCCGGCAGCACGUCGGUUCCCUGGCCUGGAGCUCUCCUUCCCUCUCCUGGCCAGACUGCGGCGACGCCUGUACACAAGGCUGGGAGGCGGCAGAAUGCAGCCAGAGGAGGGCACAGGCUGGCUGCUGGAGCUGCUGUCCGAGGUGCAGCUGCAACAGUACUUCCUGCGGCUCCGAGACGACCUCAACGUCACCCGCCUGUCCCACUUUGAGUACGUCAAGAAUGAGGACCUGGAGAAGAUCGGCAUGGGCCGGCCUGGCCAGCGGCGGCUGUGGGAGGCUGUGAAGAGGAGGAAGGCCUUGUGCAAACGCAAGUCGUGGAUGAGUAAGGUGUUCAGUGGGAAGCGACUGGAGGCUGAGUUCCCCCCUCAUCACUCUCAGAGCACCUUCCGGAAGACCUCGCCCGCCCCUGGGGGCCCAGCAGGGGAGGGGCCCCUGCAGAGCCUCACCUGCCUCAUUGGGGAGAAGGACCUGCGCCUCCUGGAGAAGCUGGGCGAUGGUUCCUUUGGCGUGGUGCGCAGGGGCGAGUGGGACGCGCCCUCAGGGAAGACGGUGAGUGUGGCUGUGAAGUGCCUGAAGCCUGAUGUCCUGAGCCAGCCAGAAGCCAUGGACGACUUCAUCCGGGAGGUCAAUGCCAUGCACUCGCUCGAUCACCGCAACCUCAUUCGCCUCUACGGGGUGGUGCUCACGCCGCCCAUGAAGAUGGUGUGCCCCCGAGAGCCUGAAGACACGCACCUUCUCCCAUGCCAGCGACACCUGGAUGUUCGGGGUGACACUGUGGGAAAUGUUCACCUACGGCCAGGAGCCCUGGAUUGGCCUCAACGGCAGUCAGAUCCUGCAUAAGAUCGACAAGGAGGGGGAGCGGCUGCCCCGGCCCGAGGACUGUCCCCAGGACAUCUACAACGUCAUGGUCCAGUGCUGGGCUCACAAGCCAGAGGACAGACCCACGUUUGUGGCCCUGCGGGACUUCCUGCUGGAGGCCCAGCCCACAGACAUGCGGGCCCUUCAGGACUUUGAGGAACCGGACAAGCUGCACAUCCAGAUGAAUGAUGUCAUCACUGUCAUCGAGGGAAGGGCCGAGAACUACUGGUGGCGUGGCCAGAACACACGGACGCUGUGUGUGGGGCCCUUCCCUCGCAACGUGGUGACCUCCGUGGCCGGCCUGUCGGCCCAGGACAUCAGCCAGCCCCUGCAGAACAGCUUCAUCCACACAGGGCAUGGCGACAGUGACCCCCGCCACUGCUGGGGCUUCCCGGACAGGAUUGACGAACUGUAUCUGGGAAACCCCAUGGACCCCCCCGACCUCCUGAGCGUGGAACUGAGCACCUCCCGGCCCCCCCAGCAUCUAGGACGGGUGAAAAGUAAGAGCCCCUCUGCUCCCUGGUGUCCCUAACUCAUCGGCUACUCAGGAAGGGGCACUGUCUUCACAGGCCACCCUAAGGCUGCUGUUCUGUCUUUGGGGACAGUGGGGUCAGGGCAGCAGGCGGGACAGCUGUGUCCCUGGCUCCGGCUGGGCGUGGGGUGGAAGACAGGCAGCUGUAUCCGCCGAGGUGGGCCUCCUCCCUCCUUCCACGGCCGAGCUCAGAUUCUGGCUUUCCUCACUUCCCCCUAAUCCUGCUCUCCUGUCCCAAGCCAAAACCACCCCAUGGCUCCGGCUCUGCCUGGAGCCUCCUCCAUCUCCCGGUCCUCUGCCUAUCAUACUGGACCGCCGUGUUCCUCAUCCUGCCGCCCGCGGCCUCCUGUAUGCUGGGGGCUUGUACAUUCACUCGCCCCCAUUCACUUCUCUCCCUUCCUCUCUCUCUAUACUCUGCCCUCUCGUCUGGCCGUCUCCCUCCUUUGUCCUCUGUCCUGCUCUGUCCCUCUCCCCCUGUCCGCAUGGCCUUUCUUGCAGGGGAGCCUCCAACUCGCCCACCUCAGCCUGCCUUCUUCACUCAGAGUAAGUGGGGCUGCUUCCGAUGCCUUGGCCCCCGCCCCCGCCCCCUCUCUCUCACUCCUCUCCUGGAAGGUACAGAGCCUGGGCGGCUGGGCCGGAGGGGAGGUGGGUGUGUGCUGUGAGCUUCCGAGGCUGCCCUGGCCUAGCAUGCCGGCCCCCCCCCGAGCCCGCCCCCCAGAGCCUGGGCUUCUGCUCACGAGUGUGGCCCUGGCUUCCGCCUCGGCCUCACUCCCUCCCAGACCUGUCUGAGCUUCUGGAGCACGAGUGUGGCCCUGGCUUCUGCCUCGGCCUCGCUGCCUCCCAGACCUGCAGGCGCUGUCUGGGCCUUGUGGCCGUUGGUCAGGAGUGCUGUCCUCUCCAAGGAUAGUCCCUAUAGCCCCUGAUGGCAGGAGGCGGCUCCGUGCCUGCACUAAUGGUGUGCCGUGACAGGGGCGGGGAUGAGGGCUUACUAACUCGCCAGGGUGCAGGAGCAGGGCUGCCGGGGUCUUGUGCUGGUGGAGGCAGCGUCAGGCAGGAGCCAGUGUUGCUUGCUGCAGCUUAGACGGAGGGAGGCGGGGCUCACCGGCCCACAUGGGGCUGCCGGGCAGAGCAGGUUCCGCCCUCCUGAUGGAGUGGUCGGAGGUGCGCUGAGAACCUGGCCGCUGGUGGCUGACCUCAGACCUCGGGGGGAGUUGGGAGUGGAGGGUUGCUGGGGGACACUCGGCUUUCUUUCCCACGUGCCACCUCCCCUCGUGCCCCAGACCCUGCCUGACUGCCUUCCUGUUGGCCUCUCCCUUUCCAUCACAGAACCAACCUAUGACCCUGUGAGCGAGGACCAAGACCCCUUGUCCAGUGACUUCAAGAGGCUGGGCCUGCGGAAGCCAGGCCUGCCCCGAGGGCUGUGGCUGGCGAAGCCCUCGGCGCGGGUGCCGGGCACCAAGGCCAGCCGAGGCAGCGGGGCUGAGGUCACGCUCAUCGACUUUGGUGAGGAGCCCGUGGUCCCGGCCCUACGGCCCUGCGCGCCCUCCCUGGCGCAGCUGGCCAUGGACGCCUGCUCCCUGCUGGACGAGACCCCGCCUCAGAGCCCCACGCGGGCACUGCCCCGGCCCCUGCACCCCACACCUGUGGUGGACUGGGACGCACGCCCGCUGCCCCCCCCGCCCGCCUAUGACGACGUGGCCCAGGAUGAGGAUGACUUUGAGAUCUGCUCCAUCAACAGCACCCUCGUGGGCGCGGGGGUCCCUGCCGGGCCCAGCCAGGGCCAGACCAACUACGCCUUUGUGCCUGAGCAGGCGCGGCC
RNAcentral lists this small RNA (3502 nucleotides) under Pan troglodytes (chimpanzee). RNAcentral's name for it is "retained intron". The record is from RNAcentral. Lineage: Eukaryota; Metazoa; Chordata; Mammalia; Primates; Hominidae.